This is a long non-coding RNA of Chenopodium quinoa (quinoa), 899 nucleotides long. RefSeq lists it as uncharacterized. The transcript has 2 exons. The record is from RefSeq and is a predicted model, not a curated record. NCBI's taxonomy places the organism in Eukaryota, Viridiplantae, Streptophyta, Magnoliopsida, Caryophyllales, Amaranthaceae.
AACAUAUUUAAUCAAGGACCUAGGCAAGCCCUUUCAUGCUUUGAUUAUUGAUUAAGGAAAGAAAAUUUAAAACUGACUAAAUCAAAUGAAACCAUCUAAACUAAUUUUAUUAAUCCAAAUUCUAAACUAGCUUUUAUAAUGACUGAAAACUAACUACUAGCAUAAUAACUAUAAGAAUUAAGGGCCAAUUACCCCAAGCUAAUUUCAAUACUACAAAAAGUGGAAAAAGGACCCCUAAUUAGAGACCCAUUAUCUUAACCAACAGGUAUGUUUGAUGUAAGAGAUCCUUUAAUAGAGAUAACGGGUCUCUUAUAAGCCCUUGGGCCCACAAAUUUAUUGAUAGGAGUGAGAUAAGAAAGCCAUUGUAAGAGCAACGGGUCUCUUACCUUCCUUUUUCACUUCUCAAUUAUUUAUGCGUGUUGUUGUACGCUACCAUCCUUUUGCUCAAUCUCUCUCCUCUGCAUCACUUUGUUUAUCACCGACAUUCCUUUGCUAAUUUUUUUCCUCAAAAACUCAUUUCUCAUUCACCUCCAAUUUAUGGCUUCAUCUCCUUAUUUUCCACCUUCAUCAACGACUUCUUCGAGCAUAUGCAUGCUCCUUGUAUUUUGAGAAGUCUCAACCUUCAAGAUCCCUCUUUGCUUAUCCUCCGACGACAGUUUCAAAGUGCUUUAGUGCAAUUAGAUCUAGAUUUAAUCAUUCAAGGUUAUGCUAUUGAUAAUCAUGGAAGGAAUACAGAGUACAAGAUACACUAUUAAUGUAUGGUUGUAUGGAGUAUAUACUUGUAAAUUAUUCAAUAAGCUACCAAUUGUAAAUUCUAGUAAUUAUUUUGUAAAUUUCAAUAAUUAAUCUAUGUUGGUUUGUUUAAUUAUAUAUUCAAAGUUUACAUUUUAUUCAGUCAA